Molecule: ribosomal RNA, 433 nt
Filed under: uncultured bacterium
Lineage: Bacteria
Description: partial 16S ribosomal RNA
Rfam family: Bacterial small subunit ribosomal RNA
Source: RNAcentral
AGCGAACGCUGGCGGCAGGCUUAACACAUGCAAGUCGAGCGGGCACUUCGGUGUCAGCGGCAGACGGGUGAGUAACACGUGGGAACGUACCCUUUGGUUCGGAAUAACGCUGGGAAACUAGCGCUAAUACCGGAUACGCCCUUUUGGGGAAAGGCUUGCUGCCGAAGGAUCGGCCCGCGUCUGAUUAGCUAGUUGGUGGGGUAAUGGCCUACCAAGGCGACGAUCAGUAGCUGGUCUGAGAGGAUGAUCAGCCACACUGGGACUGAGACACGGCCCAGACUCCUACGGGAGGCAGCAGUGGGGAAUAUUGGACAAUGGGCGCAAGCAUGAUCCAGCCAUGCCGCGUGAGUGAUGAAGGCCUUAGGGUUGUAAAGCUCUUUUGUCCGGGACGAUAAUGACGGUACCGGAAGAAUAAGCCCCGGCUAACUUCGUG